AGCGAACGCUGGCGGCAGGCUUAACACAUGCAAGUCGAACGGAUCCUUCGGGAUUAGUGGCGGACGGGUGAGUAACACGUGGGAACGUGCCUUUUGGUUCGGAACAACACAGGGAAACUUGUGCUAAUACCGGAUGUGCCCUUCGGGGAAGGAUUUAUCGCCAUUAGAGCGGCCCGCGUCUGAUUAGCUUGUUGGUGAGGUAAAGGACUCACCAAGGCUACGAUCAGUAGCUGGUCNGAGAGGAUGAUCAGCCACACUGGGACUGAGACACGGCCCAGACUCCUACGGGAGGCAGCAGUAGGGAAUCUUGCGCAAUGGGCGAAAGCCUGACGCAGCCAUGCCGCGUGAAUGAUGAAGGUCUUAGGAUU
This 368-nucleotide ribosomal RNA is filed under the name uncultured bacterium. Its description in RNAcentral is "bacterial SSU rRNA". It matches the Rfam family "Bacterial small subunit ribosomal RNA", at positions 29 to 424 of the family's 1533-position model. The record is from RNAcentral.